This is a long non-coding RNA of Eptesicus fuscus (big brown bat), 374 nucleotides long. RefSeq lists it as uncharacterized. The transcript has 3 exons. Lineage: Eukaryota; Metazoa; Chordata; Mammalia; Chiroptera; Vespertilionidae. The record is from RefSeq and is a predicted model, not a curated record.
UGUGGAGAUCAGCGAAUGCCACUCCUAAGAACAUAUUCCAAAAUGCUUGCUGUGUGUGCAAUGGUGCAUUGUACCAGCUUCCAAGAGGUCCCCACAGUCAAUCAUGUGCCUGAUUUAAGAAAAUUUGUAUGAGAAUACAAUGGGCGAAACCAUUCUGAAAAGAAUGAAACUGCUAACACAAAACAUUAAAGCCAUGGGGUGAGAAUCAGCAAGAGGAAAAAUGAAUUUGUGAUGACUCAGGAGUUAUUAUCAGCAACAAACAAGGUUCACAAGUUAUUGCCGCAUGAAGCAUCUAUUCUAAUCCUUUCGAAGAGCAUUUACACACAAUGGAAUAGGGGUGAGCACAGAAAAGUGAUCAUUGAUCAAUUCCAAAU